GAUGAACGCUGGCGGCGUGCCUAAUACAUGCAAGUCGAGCGAACAGACGAGGAGCUUGCUCCUCUGACGUUAGCGGCGGACGGGUGAGUAACACGUGGAUAACCUACCUAUAAGACUGGGAUAACUUCGGGAAACCGGAGCUAAUACCGGAUAAUAUAUUGAACCGCAUGGUUCAAUAGUGAAAGACGGUUUUGCUGUCACUUAUAGAUGGAUCCGCGCCGCAUUAGCUAGUUGGUAAGGUAACGGCUUACCAAGGCAAUGAUGCGUAGCCGACCUGAGAGGGUGAUCGGCCACACUGGAACUGAGACACGGUCCAGACUCCUACGGGAGGCAGCAGUAGGGAAUCUUCCGCAAUGGGCGAAAGCCUGACGGAGCAACGCCGCGUGAGUGAUGAAGGUCUUCGGAUCGUAAAACUCUGUUAUUAGGGAAGAACAAAUGUGUAAGUAACUAUGCACGUCUUGACGGUACCUAAGCAGAAAGCCACGGCUAACUACGU
Molecule: ribosomal RNA, 496 nt
Filed under: uncultured bacterium
Lineage: Bacteria
Description: partial 16S ribosomal RNA
Rfam family: Bacterial small subunit ribosomal RNA
Source: RNAcentral